Molecule: RNA transcript, 6995 nt
Organism: Scylla paramamosain (green mud crab)
Lineage: Eukaryota; Metazoa; Arthropoda; Malacostraca; Decapoda; Portunidae
Exons: 7
Source: RefSeq, a predicted model, not a curated record
UGUCCGCUGCUGUCCACAGCAUGGUUGAAGAUUUUGUUAAAAAGAUUAGCGAAAUGUAAAGAUGAAAUAGACCCUAUAAAGUAUUCACAGCAGUCCGGCAUUUGUUUGUAAACAAAGAGCGGACACUCAGCUACGCGGGGCAGCGCCGCAGCAGUAAACUUGAGAGAGAAGAGGACAUGGGCAGGAGACAGUUUUGUGGGAAUGGAAGCGUUCCGAGCUUCGCCAUAUGGAGUUCACAACUUUGAUCUCAGCAUUAUAGUGCACUUUCUUACACCAUACAAAAAAUCAUGUCUUGCAAAUACCUGAUGACUGUAAAAGUACAUCCCUACACUGUUAAGGAGCGACCACUGUACCAAGUUAUUCAAUGACUGCAAAUACACUGAAUUAUGAAAGCUUUCCUGUACAACCUCUUAACAUCUGAGAAAGCUGUUAUGAUUAUUACUUGGAGUUGCCGUCUGGAAACAAAUGUCUACAAAUGUCCUGGAUGUUCACUUGAGGCAUGAGCUUGCAGCAUGCUCCAGUAUUAACUGCUGCUGAGUUGGAAGAAUACUGCCACCACACUCCCUGCACAUUGUAAUAGGCAACUGUGAGAUGGAACAAGAGGAUUAAGAAAAAUCCCGCAUUUGUAUUGUUAUUCCAACAGUGAGAGGAGUGUCAUCUUGUGGUUACCUCUUUUAAGGGGAGCUUUUAGCCAGGUAUGUUGAUAGUUAAGAGAAGGAAACAAGUUCACUAAUGCUGGAAUAGAAAUGUGUUCAAAUGGUGCAAAAAUGGUUCUUGAAACCUGUCUUAUUCAGGGUAAAACACAAGUUUCUGCAAAUGUUGCUAGAGAUGAAAGUACAGGUUAGUCUAAGUUGAAAAUUUUCUAUGCAUUUUGAGGGCAUGUUUAGCUGUGGUAUGAAAUUCAAGUGUGACUGGGCAACAGACAGUGGCUGGACCAGGUGGGUAACCAAGGGGGGAUGUGUAGACCUGGAUGUCCAUUGGUGGAAUUGUAAAUUAUUCAGUCAUGAUUUCUGCAAGUUUUGGAGCUUUACGGUAUCCAACAAUGAGAGGAGUGGUGACAGUGGACAGAUGAUUUACUGAUAAAUGUGAUUUACUGAUAAAUGCAACACAAUGAUAGUAUGGAUGUACUAAUGACAAAUGAAAUAAUAGGCUGCAAGGCAUCAUGCCUGCCCAAGCAGAGGAUGGGAGGGAGUGAGGCUAGCAGCAAAUCAGUUGAUAGUUAUUCAGUCACACACAGUUUACCACCGAAGCCAUGACAGCAAAUACAUUUAGAUUUUACUGCGCAGCUAAUGUGGAGUGUGUGGACAUGGUGUUUUCCACCUUGGUUUCUACCUGGCCUGGGUGUUGUAUCUGUUGCCAGAGCCCACAAAUUACACACAUGGCUUAACAUUGCAUAUGUGCCUAGAACAUUUUCAACUUAGAAUAACCUGUUCUUUCACUUCUAGCAAUAUCUGCAGAAAUUCAUGUUACACUCUAUAGAAUUCAGUCCCAACCAUGGGUACAUGCACUUUUCAGGGGGUACAUUGGGUCUCAGAGAAUAGCCACUACUGUGCAAUACAUGGUGUUGUAAUCUGCAAUCAGAUUGCACAAUGUCUUUUUUUUUUUUUUUUAAAUUUUAGUAAGCAAGACUUUCAUCUAAAUUAAAUAAAGAGUCAGGUAAAUACCAUUUGGUUUUCACUAUUAUGGAACUAACCGUGGCUGCAGUCUGUACUGAGCCUGAAAGGAUUAAGUACAAGAUGCAAUGAUCAUUAUGGAUAAUUAUAAGAAAGAUAUGUAUGUGAUGGAUCAAGAUAUUUUCUAAAUUACUUGAGUUUAUUUCAUUGAUGUUGUAAACUUUAAGAUUCCUAUGCAGUCUACACAUAUAAAUUUCAUAAUGAAAAAAUAUCAAAAUAUUACAAUUCCAUCUAUUUAUUAUUAAUCUAUUUAUGGGUACACAGGAACCUAUAAAAAUCUCCAAGGAGUACAGAGGAACAAAAAGGUUGGGAAUGCCUGCUGUAGAUGGUGUGAAAGCUCUUAAAUGUGUUUGAGAAUGUUUACAGAUGCUAUUUGAAAGGAAUACAAGUGAAAGGGUUGAUUUUUAAAAGCAUAAUGGAGCAGGAACUACAGGUAAAUGAAACACCUAUGAAGUCUUUAUCAUGAGCAACCAUGGAAAGUGAAAAGAAAGGAAUGGUGCAGUGUUGUAAUUUCUUUUAAUGUUUACAGUGUUCCCUCAGUAUUUAUGGUUUCACCAUUCACAUUUUCUCCUGUAUGGCACAAAAGCAGUUUUAGAUAUGCAAUAGGAACAUUCCUCACUACUCUUCUCUUUGAAUAUCACAAAAUAGGAUAAUAUUCCACUCAAAAGAUAGCACAGAAAUGCAUAUUAGAAAAUGUGAGAGCACAAUGACAAAGUUUUGGGUUUACAAUCUCACUCUGGGAAUAUUUGAAGUGGCUAAAGUAACACUUGGUGGUUAACAACAACUGGCUAGCAGUACACAAACAUUUUUUGUUCCUAGUCAAGCUGUAUGUGUUAAUUUCAUUAAGCAUGGGCUAGAAUGUAGUGUGUGCUUGUGGCAACCAUUAGAUGUUUUAAGUAAAGUUAAGAGAAUAAAUAAUUUGUAAGUGCAUGUGAACCACCACUACAUUAUUCAGUCAACUUUAUUGAAGACAUCUAAUGGCCAGCACAAGCACACUACAAGACACUGUAGGCAUUUAAUGGGCAGCACAAUCACACUACAAGACACUGAAGACAUUCAAUGGCCAGCACAAGCACACUUCAAGAUGACACCAGGCAUUCAAUGGCCAGCACAAGCACACUACAAGACAAUGAAGACAUUCAAUGGCCAGCACAAGCACACUACAAGACAUUGAAGACAUUCAAUGGCCAGCACAAGCACACUACAAGAUGACACUAGGCAUUCAAUGGCCAGCACAAGCACACUACAAGACAUUGAAGACAUUCAGUGGCCAGCACAAGCACACUACAAGACACUGAAGGCAUUUAAUGGCCAGCACAAGCACACUACAAGACACUGAAGGCAUUUAAUGGCCAGCACAAGCACACUACAAGAUACUGAAGACCUUUAAAGCCACCACAAGUACAUUACAGGACACUGAAGAUAUUUAAUGGCCACCGCAAGCACACUACAAGAUGCUGAAGACAUUUAAUGGCCACUGCAAGCACACUAAAAAAUAAUGAAGACAUUUAAUGGCCAGCACAAACACACUACAAGACAUCCCUGCUCCCAAAUGAACAAGUGUCAAUAAUGCUAGACAAAAAAAAAAAAAAAACAAGAUGGUGUAUGCACUACCAGCUAUUCAUUUGUAACAACCAAGUGCUGUCUCAGUUCCAAAACUUUCCAAGAGUGGAUCUAGAGUUCUAACUUCAUGUAACUGUGCUCUCACAUUUCCUAACAACAAAAGUACAAGGUUGAGUUGUCUGUUGUGUGAAAUAUCCUAUGUAUGUGUGACAUUUUGUCUGGUGCUGAGCAGGAUGUGAAAUUGCUUCAUGUAUGCCCUACAUUAAACACUGCACAGCUAAAGACUGUUUAGCCACUAUAUAGAUACUAUAUGGAUGGACUGGGAAUAUCUGAUAAGAAUUGUAAUGAAUUAUGUAACAUUUUGCAGACCAUUUUGUAGUGGCAGUUCAUGUUGAACUUUUUAUGGUCUCCUGUCCGUACCGCAUGGUGCUGCCUCGCGCGGCUCACACCUAGCUGGUAUCCCUCGUGAAUUGUAGAAGGGACCGGAAUCCAAACACCACCACAACUCAGGGCGCAGUGGUAGACGCUCAACCCGUCCCCCGCAGUCAUACCGGGACAUCUGAAGACGUCGCGGUAUGACUACACCUCUCGCCUGGGGAGGGCAACGGCUGUGCUAACAAGGAAGGAUGUCAGCUUCAGUGUUGUGGCUUAUGGUCCUUCAUCGUGGCUAAAAGAAACCCCAGAAGGUGAUUGCGAGGUCAAGGCUUAUAGUCGCACUGAUGAAAAGAAACACACCUGCCAAGAACCUCGAACCUCAGUCAUUGAGAACCUCCCCGAUCCCGAGUCACUGACGAGCAUACCGGUGUGGGCAAUAAUAGUGGCGGUGGUGUUAGCUGUGAUAGUAGUGGGCGCGAUAGUGGUCUAUUGGAAGUGGAAGUCUGAGACAUCACGCAACGCAGCAAAUCCAGGUGAAUUAACUGAGCCAAGCAACGCGCCACACGUCAUAAAUGAUGUCACGUAUGAGUCGUUUGGAAAUGACACCAUCGAGGAUCACUCGCCGUGCGAAGCCUUCGACAACACCACCAAAGAUGGCCCCUCGCUAGUACAGGGAGAAGCACCGUACACUAUUGAAAAUAACCAGCACGAAUCUUUCAGCAGUUACGGGCACAGAUACAACCAGUAGGCGGUCCCAAAGAUUACAUCCAUCAAUUUACUAUUCAUUUAUUUAUUUUUUAAAUAUUACAGACACGUUGGAUAGCAGAAGAUUAAAGAUAAACAAGGAAAUCUUGAUGAUGCAUAAAUUUCUUUUCUCAUGCUAAAUUUGGAGUUAUAAUAGUGUUUCCUUGUCUAUUCAUAGGAUAAACUUUAGUAAUGGAAAUUACAAGGAAAAUUUUGUUAUGCCACCCUCGUUUUGGGGGAUGUAGAUCAUUUGUGCCCUGUGUGGUAUAUGUUUUGUGUAUUUUGGAAUGUUGCCAUGCUGCGUUCGUACGUGUGUGUGUGUGUGUGUGUGUGUGUGUGUGUGUGUGUGUGUGUGUGUGUGUGUGUGUGUGUGUGUGUGUGUCACAGAUUUUUGGCUGUUACCCAUUAGAGUAAUGUUCCGUUUUCUAACUGUUGUUUGGCGUUUGCUUAAUCAAAUUUCUCUCUCUCUCUCUCUCUCUCUCUCUCUCUCUCUCUCUCUCUCUCUCUCUCUCUCUCAUUCUGCUACCCACCAAAAACAUUCAUAUUUCCUUCCACCACAUAUUUUUCUUCUGUAUAACAAUUCAUUUGUAUUUCUUUGGACGUUAUUGUAUGUGAAAAUCACCAUAUCCUGAAGUUAUUUAUAUUUUAGCUUUAGUUAGAUCACAUCUGGACUACGCACUGCAGUUUUGGACACCGUAUUAUAGGAAAAACAAAUUCCUUAUAAACAGUGCAGUGGAUGAUAACUAUUAUGAUGAUUACUGAUGGGCUGAGAUGAUUACCGUAUAAGUUAGAACGACUUAACCUGCAUUCACUGGAGAGAAGAAGGGUGCGUGGGGUCAUGGUGGAAAUAUAAGUAAAAUAAAUUAAUUCAGGUGAUGUUAGUGACGUUCUCAUAGUAAAUAAUCAGCACAAAACUCGAGGUAACGGAUAUAAGCUAGAUAAGUUUAGGUUUAGGAAAGAGAUUGGUGGGAACUGGUUCACAAACAGUGGUGGAUGAGUGGAACAGGUUUAGCAGUCAUGUGAUCAGCGCCAGCACGCUAGGUAGUUUCAAGAGAUAGUUGUAUGAUUAUAUGGAUGGGAAAAACAGACUAUAAUUGGGAUGUUGGUAAGGGGAGGUGGCGUUCAUGAUUAGUGCAGAUGCCCAGUGUAGGCCAGCCGGCCUUUUGCAGCCUCAUUUGUUAUAUGUCAUUGAUUAAGAUAAUUCAUCCUUGUUUUGCAUUUCCUAGGAUUAUGUUUACGUAAAUUAUUAUGAUUUUCUUCGUUGAUUUUUUUACCUAAAAUAACAGAUUUUGGAUCUCUAAGACACCCUCACGGUUUAUCAACUGUUAGCAUCUAGUAUAUGAAUUGAAAAACGCCUUUACAAUUCAUUUGGCUAUACCAACGACGUUACUUAAUUUAGUGCUAGUGUCAAGUCUGCAAUGCUUAGUAUGUGUUGGCUGUAAUACGAUUAUACGUACAUCGUAUUGUAGUUAAACUUAUGAUGAAAAGGGUGUUCUUUUUUGUACGUUGUUUCUUGAGAAAUGUGUAUAUUGUUGUUAUGCUUGUAUCAGGAUGGUUGAAAAGGUUUACGUGAGUUGCAGCUUGUAAGGAGAGGACCAUUUUCUAUCAACCCCAGAGUUCCAAUAUUAUGUGUGUGCUAUGAAUUACUGUGUCCUUGUGGUAACCUUACGAAGUCAAAAAAGAUAUAAGAAACAAGAGAAGACGACGGAUGAAUUAGGGAAAUAGGAAAACGUGACAAGAAGGCUUAGAGAAAAGUAGAAAAAAAAAAGAAAGCUAUCAACGCCGCUGUUUUGUUCAGGGUAUUUGACUUGAAAUGAUGAGAAGGCCCACACAGAACUGACCCACAAAGAAGGUUAUAAUAUUGUGACCGUGACCGGACAGAGAUGUAGAGGUCGGCUGACUAAGAUAUGAAAAGGGAAAAAGGCAAGCACAGCACAAGGAGGAGCGGAAAAGAGAGGUGAACAGAGCGGUGUACUGUGGGAACUUACUGUUGCCUUAUCACUCUCCAACUUCUUACUGUGUCAUAUACCCAAACUCUGCCCUGAUACUAUGAAUGGGCAAAAACAUAUAUUGCCACGCCUGUGGGCGGGUCAGGUGUAUGAAGUGUAUUACUGCAUGUGAAUUAUGUGAGAUGUAUGGGAUUCUCAAUCUUAUCAUAGAUUUUGAGGGAAAAAUGUAACAAACUAGGGUAUAUCAUAUCAGGUAACUGAGGUAGGAGUCAGACUGAGACAGCAGUCAGCAGGCAGAGAGACCAGAGAGCAGAAGCAGAGAUUGCAGAGGUUCUAGAAUUGAGAGGAGCCUAAGGAGACAUGGACAAGCUCAAGCUCGUCCUAGAACUCGUAAGGAGAGCUUAAAAGUUGUGUGAUGCAGUCUUAGUAAUUGUUGUCUCAUGAAGGUGAAAAAGGAGGAAGUAAUUUGUAGGCUGUUUUAUUAUUGGAAUGUUUUAGAUUUAGGAUUUUGUAUUUGUGUGUUUUUGUGUAAUUUCUUGACUUAAAUGUUAAGUAUUGAAUUGCUCUGACAAGAAACUCGGGUACUACUGUGAACCAAGUUGAUGGAAGGUUCUCAGCGUGUUGCAGAAAGUGAAAACCCGGAAAUGAUUAUUGUAUCUAAUUUUUACUGAAGUAAAUGUAGAAAUUUUAA